GUCCCCAUCGUCUAGAGGCCUAGGACAUCGCCCUUUCACGGCGGUAACGGGGGUUCGAAUCCCCCUGGGGACGCAA
This 76-nucleotide transfer RNA is filed under the name Gammaproteobacteria bacterium RIFCSPHIGHO2_12_FULL_38_14. Its description in RNAcentral is "tRNA-Glu". It matches the Rfam family "tRNA". From Rfam's summary of the family: Transfer RNA (tRNA) molecules are approximately 80 nucleotides in length. Their secondary structure includes four short double-helical elements and three loops (D, anti-codon, and T loops). Lineage: Bacteria; Pseudomonadati; Pseudomonadota; Gammaproteobacteria. The record is from RNAcentral.